This 650-nucleotide long non-coding RNA is filed under the name Gossypium raimondii (Peruvian cotton). RNAcentral describes it as "long non-coding RNA (GRAI_LNC007656)". The record is from RNAcentral. Lineage: Eukaryota; Viridiplantae; Streptophyta; Magnoliopsida; Malvales; Malvaceae.
UUCAGCCUCUAAUUAAAUUUCCACCAUUUUUGGUGAUUUUUCAAAGUCACACAACUGUUGCUGUCUAAACUGUUUUGUUGCUAAAUGUACUCUUUCAUAAUUUCACUUUUUCACUUUCAAUCACAAUUCAAUUCAAAAUUCACUUUUCCAUUUCUAAGUCGAUAUUCAAUUCAGUUCCACACCUAUAUUCAUUAUUCAAUUACACUUAGUCAAUUUCCCGUUGAACACUCGGAAUAUACAUAGAUACGUAGAGAAUUAGCACAUAAGUGCCACACUGAUAUGUAGCCGAAGCUACCACUGAUACGUAGCCGAAGCUACCACUGAUACGUAGCCGAAGCUACCACUGAUAUGUAGCCGAAGCUACCACUGAUACGUAGCCGAAGCUACCACUGAUACGUAGCCGAAGCUACCACUGAUACGUAGCCGAAGCUACCACUGAUACGUAGCCGAAGCUACCACUGAUCAAUAACACUGGAAAUGUCCACGGGCCUGCUCACACAAGCUGUCAGGUGUCUGCAACACAUGCUAGAUCACCCAGCACCCGGGACUCACUGUAACACUGUAACACUGAUCUCUAGUGACAUGUCACUUGUAUCCACUUCUAUUCCUAAGUUCAACCGGGAAUUUACACUUAACACUUUAUUUUAAAC